Molecule: ribosomal RNA, 468 nt
Filed under: uncultured bacterium
Lineage: Bacteria
Description: partial 16S ribosomal RNA
Rfam family: Bacterial small subunit ribosomal RNA
Source: RNAcentral
GACGAACGCUGGCGGCGUGCCUAACACAUGCAAGUCGAACGGAAAGGUCCUGCUUUUGUGGGGUGCUCGAGUGGCGAAAGGGUGAGUAACACGUGAGUAACCUGCCCUUGACUUUGGGAUAACUUCAGGAAACUGGGGCUAAUACCGGAUAGGAGCUCCUGCUGCAUGGUGUGGGGUGGAAAGUUUCGGCGGUUGGGGAUGGACGCGCGGCUUAUCAGCUUGUUGGUGGGGUAGUGGCUUACCACGGCUUUGACGGGUAGCCGGCCGGGGAGGGUGACCGGCCACAUUGGGCCUGGGGUAGGGCCCAGACUCCUACGGGAGGCAGCAGUGGGGAAUAUUGCACAAUGGGCGGAAGCCUGAUGCAGCAACGCCGCGUGCGGGAUGCCGGCCUUCGGGUUGUAAACCGCUUUCGCCUGUGACGAAGCGUGAGUGACGGUAAUGGGUAAAGAAGCCCCGGCUAACUACGUG